This is a long non-coding RNA of Cololabis saira (Pacific saury), 565 nucleotides long. RefSeq lists it as uncharacterized. The transcript is spliced from 2 exons. NCBI's taxonomy places the organism in Eukaryota, Metazoa, Chordata, Actinopteri, Beloniformes, Belonidae. The record is from RefSeq and is a predicted model, not a curated record.
UGCAGCUUUCAAAGUCUACACGGUGACGUCUGCAGACAUGGUGCAGAAUCACAUCAACUCUCCAGACCACCUCUCAAACACAAAGGGUGGCAGCCUGUUGGAGGGAAAUUAUUGAAAAUACCAGAUGUUCUUCAGCUGAGCUCCACAUUUCAACACCACACAGACUUUCUUCAAAAUGCAUUUUCUUGGUUUUUGUACUACUUUUAUUUGUAAUUUACAGGUCAAAAGAUUUUUUUUAUUUUUUAUUUUUAUUCCAUGACAUGAAUACAAAAAUGAUUAGAAAAGUCAACAUGUUUCUUUGCUUUUUUUUAUUUAGAACACAAAUGUUUUUACGCAUUUUAUCGAUGUGAUAUAGUACAUUUAAAAUUAAUUUAUUUCAAAACAGUAUAUUUAAACAUUACAUAGAAGUGACAUGUAGGAAGGGCAUGAUCAACUGUGCGUGUUAUGACUUUGUUUUUUUGUUUUCUUUUUUACCCCAUCCUCUCAGCUUUUAAUUAUGUAUUAGAAACAAUGCAGUUAUUGAAAUACUAUAAAACAUGAUCUAUUCAUAAAAGGUUGCAAACUU